Molecule: unclassified non-coding RNA, 708 nt
Filed under: Schistocerca americana (American grasshopper)
Lineage: Eukaryota; Metazoa; Arthropoda; Insecta; Orthoptera; Acrididae
Description: carnosine N-methyltransferase, transcript variant X2
Source: RNAcentral
AAAAUGGAGAGCUGUACCAAACCAGCCCUAGGACUCCUGAAGAUUACGCCAACAACAUGCAUUCUUAUGAACUUUGAGUUUUCGACUAUACUCUUUGACUGCUUCGAAUCUGAAGUAUUGUUUCUGCACGGGCGUCAUUGUGUGGUGUUUGUAAAUAUGAAGCAGUAGUUGAAAACAUCGUUAGAAUUAGUUUUAGUUGUUAGUGGAGAUGGUGUAGCUACUCGUUGGGGACCAUGGCUGAAGUGAACAUAAGUCCCGAUGAAGAAGAACGUGUCCAUUUCAGAAGAAUAGUUGCUGCCUUUAAAUGUUACAGUUUGUUUCAGGUUGCUGUUGUUUAAAUGUUAAUGAAAACUCUGAAGCAAGUAGGAGUCAGUUCCCUCUGAGCGACACAGGUGUUAACAGACUGAAAUCUUCAGUCAUCAUCACCAGUGAAUUCUACAUAACAGUGGAAAAUGACAUAAGGACAAAUUAAACAAUGUGUACUGCAUUUAGCUAGUUAUUUAUGUGUUCCAUAGAAUGUUUGUAUGAUAUUUAAUUAUAACAUGGCAUUGGUCAGUUGACAGGUUAAAGGAGUGGCUACAUUAUGCCCAUGUACUGAAUUUGUGUAAUAGUAAAAAUAUUUAGGUUAUUAGCAGAAGAAAGUAUGUAAUUCUCUUGAACUUCAUACAAAACAAGUUUCUAAAUAAAAACUCCUCUUUAGAAUACAAA